Molecule: unclassified non-coding RNA, 279 nt
Filed under: Hevea brasiliensis (rubber tree)
Lineage: Eukaryota; Viridiplantae; Streptophyta; Magnoliopsida; Malpighiales; Euphorbiaceae
Source: RNAcentral
GGGAAUGAAAAGAACUUAUACAAUGAAUAUUCAUCUCUAUUUAUUUGGUGCAAAUGGCUAUCUAUCUACCCCAACGAAAGAAUAACAAAAAGGGAAAAAAAAUCAACAACAAUACAAGAAUCAAUCAAUUUUCCGAAUUCUGCAUCCUCCAAUUUAAAUAGCUAAAAAUUGGUCUUUCUGGAACAGGCAUGUACUUGACAACCCAACCAAUUGGCCAUGUAAGAGCUGCCAUUCCAAUGCAUGCACCCCAUUGACCCCAAUUCAACCUCUCUGUAUCUG